Molecule: long non-coding RNA, 452 nt
Organism: Malaya genurostris
Lineage: Eukaryota; Metazoa; Arthropoda; Insecta; Diptera; Culicidae
Exons: 3
Source: RefSeq, a predicted model, not a curated record
UGCCAUCUCGAAACUAAGAACAAAUAGAUAAAAUAACCAUCACAAGUAAAGUGAAAUCGCUCAUGAAAAUUGAGAAACGAAGUAGUUAUUGCUAGUAAAGUGACAUCGCUCAUGAAAAUUGAGAAACGAAAUAGUUAUUGCUACCAUUUUUAGUAUGGCUGAACAUUUCGUACGUGUGUAACAUAACUGGGGUGAUGGAUGCAAGGUUUUUGUAUUUUGUGGUGGUGCAUAAUUUUUCAUUUACAUUGGUCUUGAAGGUAAUUAAUUCCAGUCGAAUCGUUAUGUAAAUAGACGCCUUGUAUACGAAAAAUUAGUCGCGGGGGAACAACAUAAGCUCUUUAUGACGGAAGAAGUAGCAAGAUAUCUCGCUGCGGUAAUACUUCACCGGAUAGUGAUCCAGAUUCCUGGAUCAGCAACUGCAACCAGUAAUUCGCCUACGUCAAUCAUCAACC